Non-coding RNA from Oryctolagus cuniculus (rabbit), 633 nucleotides. NCBI's taxonomy places the organism in Eukaryota, Metazoa, Chordata, Mammalia, Lagomorpha, Leporidae. The record is from RefSeq and is a predicted model, not a curated record.
AGAGUCUGAGCCUGGAUUUUGAACCCCACUCAUCUCAAGGAUUCUCUGUGUGACCUUGCAGCUAGAGAGCAAGGUCAGACACCUGUGCAGCCCUCCAGGAAAACACCCAGCUUCUGGCUGGGGCGCAAGCUGGAGUCCUCAGGCCUGCCUGUCACUGGAGCCCCUGGGAGUGGUGAUGAUAAACCAGGUACUGGACGGAGAGGGAGGAGGAGCAACAGGCGAGACAGAGAACUGUGGCAUCCGCAGGAGCUCGAAAGAAAGGAAGUCGUCCCCACUUAGUCUAGUGGGUACUUGUAACCACUGAUAGUACCUGUAUAUGCUGGGUACCUGUGACCAUGCACAGUACUGAACCCUGAGUAUGUUGACACCUGUGACUCUGGAGAGUACUGAACCCUGUGUAUGCUGAAUACCUGUAACCAUGAUGAGUACUGACCCCUCUAUAUACUGAGUACCUGUAACCAUGGAGAGUACUGAACCCUGUGUAUGCUGAGUACCUGUGACCCUGGGGGGUACUGAGCCCUGUGUAUGCUGAGUACCUGUGACCCUGGAGAGUACUGAGCCCUGUGUAUCCUGAGUACCUGUGACCAUGGAGAGUACUGAGCCCUAUGUGUGCUGAGUACCUGUGACCACAGA